RNAcentral lists this ribosomal RNA (466 nucleotides) under uncultured bacterium. RNAcentral describes it as "partial 16S ribosomal RNA". It matches the Rfam family "Bacterial small subunit ribosomal RNA", at positions 28 to 507 of the family's 1533-position model. The record is from RNAcentral.
GACGAACGCUGGCGGCGUGCUUAACACAUGCAAGUCGAACGGAAAGGCCCAGCUUGCUGGGUACUCGAGUGGCGAACGGGUAAGUAACACGUGGGUGAUCUGCCCUGGACUCUGGGAUAAGCCUGGGAAACUGGGUCUAAUACCGGAUAUGACCUUACAUCGCAUGGUGUUUGGUGGAAAGCUUUUGCGGUUCAGGAUGGGCCCGCGGCCUAUCAGCUUGUUGGUGGGGUAAUGGCCUACCAAGGCGACGACGGGUAGCCGACCUGAGAGGGUGAUCGGCCACACUGGGACUGAGACACGGCCCAGACUCCUACGGGAGGCAGCAGUGGGGAAUAUUGCACAAUGGGCGCAAGCCUGAUGCAGCGACGCCGCGUGAGGGAUGACGGCCUUCGGGUUGUAAACCUCUUUCACCAGGGACGAAGCGUGAGUGACGGUACCUGGAGAAGAAGCACCGGCCAACUACGUG